GACGAACGCUGGCGGCGUGCUUAACACAUGCAAGUCGAACGCUGAAGCUCAGCUUUUGUUGGGUGGAUGAGUGGCGAACGGGUGAGUAACACGUGAGUAACCUGCCUCCUUCUUUGGGAUAACGCCCGGAAACGGGUGCUAAUACUGGAUAUUCACUGGUCUUCGCAUGGGGGUUGGUGGAAAGGGUUUUUCUGGUGGGGGAUGGGCUCGCGGCCUAUCAGCUUGUUGGUGGGGUGAUGGCCUACCAAGGCUUUGACGGGUAGCCGGCCUGAGAGGGUGACCGGUCACAUUGGGACUGAGAUACGGCCCAGACCACUACGGGAGGCAGCAGUGGGGAAUAUUGCACAAUGGGCGCAAGCCUGAUGCAGCGACGCCGCGUGAGGGAUGGAGGCCUUCGGGUUGUGAACCUCUUUCGCUCAUGGUCAAGCCGCAACAAUGGUUGUGGUGAGGGUAGUGGGUAAAGAAGCGCCGGCUAACUACGCG
This 483-nucleotide ribosomal RNA is filed under the name uncultured bacterium. RNAcentral describes it as "partial 16S ribosomal RNA". It matches the Rfam family "Bacterial small subunit ribosomal RNA", at positions 28 to 507 of the family's 1533-position model. The record is from RNAcentral.